UACAGAGGUCUCAAGCGUUGUUCGGAUUCAUUGGGCGUAAAGGGUGCGUAGGCGGCGAGGUAAGUCGGAUGUGAAAUCCCGGGGCUCAACCCCGAAACUGCAUUCGAUACUGCUUUGCUUGAGUACUGGAGAGGAGACUGGAAUUUACGGUGUAGCAGUGAAAUGCGUAGAUAUCGUAAGGAAGACCAGUGGCGAAGGCGAGUCUCUGGACAGUUACUGACGCUGAGGCACGAAGGCCAGGGGAGCGAACGGG
This 253-nucleotide ribosomal RNA is filed under the name uncultured bacterium. RNAcentral describes it as "partial 16S ribosomal RNA". It matches the Rfam family "Bacterial small subunit ribosomal RNA", at positions 524 to 776 of the family's 1533-position model. The record is from RNAcentral.